GAUGAACGCUAGCUACAGGCUUAACACAUGCAAGUCGAGGGGUAGCAGGGUAGCAAUACCGCUGACGACCGGCGCACGGGUGAGUAACACGUAUCCAACCUUCCCAUCACUCGGGGAUAGCCUUUCGAAAGAAAGAUUAAUACCCGAUAGUACUUUUUUGAGGCAUCUUGAGAAAGUUAAAGAUUUAUUGGUGAUGGAUGGGGAUGCGUUCCAUUAGAUUGUUGGUGAGGUAACGGCUCACCAAGUCUUCGAUGGAUAGGGGUUCUGAGAGGAAGGUCCCCCACAUUGGUACUGAGACACGGACCAAACUCCUACGGGAGGCAGCAGUGAGGAAUAUUGGUCAAUGGGCGCAAGCCUGAACCAGCCAUCCCGCGUGCAGGAAGACGGCCCUAUGGGUUGUAAACUGCUUUUCCAGGGAGAGAAACUUACGCACGUGUUGCGUGACUGACGGUACCCUGGGAAUAAGCAUCGGCUAACUCCGUGCCAGCAGCCGCGGUAAAACGUCUA
RNAcentral lists this ribosomal RNA (507 nucleotides) under uncultured bacterium. RNAcentral describes it as "bacterial SSU rRNA". It matches the Rfam family "Bacterial small subunit ribosomal RNA", at positions 28 to 531 of the family's 1533-position model. The record is from RNAcentral.